Molecule: ribosomal RNA, 498 nt
Filed under: uncultured bacterium
Lineage: Bacteria
Description: partial 16S ribosomal RNA
Rfam family: Bacterial small subunit ribosomal RNA
Source: RNAcentral
AUUGAACGCUGGCGGCAUGCUUUACACAUGCAAGUCGAACGGCAGCGCGGGGCAACCUGGCGGCGAGUGGCGAACGGGUGAGUAAUACAUCGGAACGUGCCCAGAUGUGGGGGAUAACGUAGCGAAAGUUACGCUAAUACCGCAUACGUUCUACGGAAGAAAGUGGGGGACCUUCUGGCCUCAUGCUUUUGGAGCGGCCGAUGUCUGAUUAGCUAGUUGGUGAGGUAAGGGCUCACCAAGGCGACGAUCAGUAGCUGGUCUGAGAGGACGACCAGCCACACUGGGACUGAGACACGGCCCAGACUCCUACGGGAGGCAGCAGUGGGGAAUUUUGGACAAUGGGCGCAAGCCUGAUCCAGCAAUGCCGCGUGAGUGAAGAAGGCCUUCGGGUUGUAAAGCUCUUUUGUCAGGGAAGAAACGGCUGAGGUUAAUACCUUCGGCUAAUGACGGUACCUGAAGAAUAAGCACCGGCUAACUACGUGCCAGCCGCCGCGGUAA